RNAcentral lists this ribosomal RNA (22 nucleotides) under Trichoderma harzianum. RNAcentral's name for it is "partial 18S ribosomal RNA". Lineage: Eukaryota; Fungi; Ascomycota; Sordariomycetes; Hypocreales; Hypocreaceae. The record is from RNAcentral.
CGUUACCGUCCGCGGAGGACAU